GGAGGGGGGUUUGAGCUAAAUGACAUCCAAGGUCCCUCUGUCAGACUAGAAGACCUCCAAGGUCCCUUUCAGCUCUUCCAAUUCUGUAAGGGUUUCCUGCAUGUGCUGUGGGUUGGACUAGAAGACCUCCAAAGUCCCUUCCAGUUCUGUUCUGACGGAAGUGUCUGCCAGACAAUAAAGGGCUGAAUUUGACCCUGGUGGAGGGAGGAGGCCGUUGUAAAACAGCCCUCUCUAUGACCUCUCCAUCUUGCAGGGCAGCGAUGGUGAGUGGAGCAGGGUAACUGUCCGAAUAAUCCGGACCACCCAGUACCAACGGAAGCGAUGGAAACCUUACCGGUUGGGUAGCCUCUCAGCUUUGAGCCGAUGGCUGAUGAAGACAGUGGUGAGUGUUUCGCCAGCAGGGAGCGAUAAACCUUAUCAAUUUGCCAAUCAAA
Molecule: long non-coding RNA, 434 nt
Organism: Thamnophis elegans (Western terrestrial garter snake)
Lineage: Eukaryota; Metazoa; Chordata; Lepidosauria; Squamata; Natricidae
Exons: 3
Source: RefSeq, a predicted model, not a curated record